GUGCCAGCCGCCGCGGUAAUACGGAGGGGGUUAGCGUUGUUCGGAAUUACUGGGCGUAAAGCGCGCGUAGGCGGACAUUUAAGUCAGGGGUGAAAUCCCGGGGCUCAACCCCGGAACUGCCCUUGAUACUGGGUGUCUUGAGUUCGAGAGAGGUGAGUGGAACUCCGAGUGUAGAGGUGAAAUUCGUAGAUAUUCGGAGGAACACCAGUGGCGAAGGCGGCUCACUGGCUCGAUACUGACGCUGAGGUGCGAAAGUGUGGGGAGCAAACAGGAUUAGAUACCCGAGUAGUCC
Molecule: ribosomal RNA, 292 nt
Filed under: uncultured bacterium
Lineage: Bacteria
Description: partial 16S ribosomal RNA
Rfam family: Bacterial small subunit ribosomal RNA
Source: RNAcentral